This 182-nucleotide ribosomal RNA is filed under the name uncultured bacterium. Its description in RNAcentral is "partial 16S ribosomal RNA". It matches the Rfam family "Bacterial small subunit ribosomal RNA", at positions 1311 to 1500 of the family's 1533-position model. The record is from RNAcentral.
CUCGACUCCAUGAAGCUGGAUUCGCUAGUAAUCGCGCAUCAGCCAUGGCGCGGUGAAUACGUUCCCGGGCCUUGUACACACCGCCCGUCAAGCCAUGGGAGCCGGGGGUGCCUGAAGUACGUGACCGCGAGGAGCGUCCUAGGGCAAAACUGGUGACUGGGGCUAAGUCGUAACAAGGUAGC